GAUGAACGCUGGCGGCGUGCCUAACACAUGCAAGUCGAACGGGGGCAGAUUGAAACCUAGUGAUAUCUGCCCGAGUGGCGGACGGGUGAGUAACGCGUGGACAACCUGCCGCAUGCAGGGGGGAUACCGGCUGGAAACAGCCGCUAAUACCGCAUAUGCGCACGGCGCCGCAUGGCGCUGCGCGGAAAGGGAGCGAUCCCGGCAUGCGAUGGGUCCGCGUCCGAUUAGCUUGUUGGCGGGGCAGCGGCCCACCAAGGCGACGAUCGGUAGCCGGCCUGAGAGGGCGGACGGCCACAUUGGGACUGAGACACGGCCCAG
This 318-nucleotide ribosomal RNA is filed under the name uncultured bacterium. RNAcentral's name for it is "bacterial SSU rRNA". It matches the Rfam family "Bacterial small subunit ribosomal RNA", at positions 28 to 334 of the family's 1533-position model. The record is from RNAcentral.